GCCGCAGAACCAAAAGGGAAGACAGCCGAGAGAGUAGGAGGAUCCCAUCCACUGUCCCGCGGUCCAGGAUCCUAGGACUGAUGUGAGCAAUGUGACCUUCCAGGACAGAGUCCCUGUCUUUGGGUUGUGACCUGCAGUGUUUGGAUGCUCCAAGCAAGGAGACAGAUCCUACCCAGAUGUGAAUGAAACCGAACUGCUCAGGCUGAAGUCCUUCUCCCAGCUGAACCCUGAAAUUACUUGGGGGUGGUAAUGUCUGUGCAGAGGAAUCCAGCUCCCAGAGGCCCCGCAUGGCUAAGAGUUACCAUUCAUGAUUUGGACAGACUCCUGCAGGCCAUGUCUCUGUUCUUCCCGCUCCCAUCCUUGGGAGGCGCUGCUGGGGCACUACAGCUGGAUGGAGCCGGUUCUUCCUGUCCCCGUCCAGCAGUGACAGUGACAGACAAGACCACAGAGGUUCCAGCUUCCCUGGGUAACCCAUCGCUGGCCUUGGGGGCACCUCCCCCUCCUGUCCCUUGCCGUUCCUCAGCUGUGGUGUCAAUUCUGGAAUGCCUGGCUCACUUGUCCUUGGCUCCUUUAUGCCCUGAGAUACCAGUUCUCCGAAGGUCACGUCUCUGCAUUAAACACUGGACAAUGUCUUUUCUCCAGACCCAUGCAGGCUUACACCGCAGAGGAGGACCUUGAGUGUCUUUCUCUGCUGCUCUCUGCCUCAUUCCCUUGGGAUAAGGUCUCUCACUGGGUCUAGAGCUAGGCUGGCAGCCGACCAGUCCUCCUCUCUACCCCACACAGUAAGGAAGUUACAGACAUCAGUGGCCAGAUUUCUUAGUACAUGCUUGGGGGCUAGAACCCAGGUCCUCAUGUUUGUGCGGUGGCGGUGAUAGGCCUCUCCCCCGGGCCAGCUCCCCAGCUCCUCUCCUGCCUUUUGACAAUGAACCUGUCAGGGUCACAGAAACUCUCAGCUGAUAGCCACUUCAGUUUUCCUACGCGUCUCAGGUCAGCCUGACCCCUGGCUCGAGGGCUCUGCCAGGUCAGUCCUUCCUUUCCUACGCCUGAGAACAGGUGUGUGUGCGGGG
This is a non-coding RNA of Peromyscus maniculatus bairdii (prairie deer mouse), 1067 nucleotides long. The record is from RefSeq and is a predicted model, not a curated record. Lineage: Eukaryota; Metazoa; Chordata; Mammalia; Rodentia; Cricetidae.